UCCGUGAUGGUUACAUGUGGAAUUUAAAAAAAAAAAAGGUGACUAUUAGUUAUUUGCCUAUUUGCCAAAAAAUAUUAACGUUAAAUGAUAAAAUCGUUGACUGUUCCCUACUCGGCCUCAAUUAUAUCGAUGAGUACUGAAGAGAAAGUCCAAUAGUUUGAUGUAAUUGUAAAUAUAAAAUAAAGUAGUUAAUUGAAGUAAUGUGAAACGAUCGAGGAGCACUGCGUCACCUAAUCUAAUACUUUUGGAUGGUUUAUGAAGCUCAGCAGAAGUUUUUCAACGGUUCAGAUUCUCAAGCUAUAAAAAGUAUUUUACAAGUAAAAUGUAUAGACUUAUACUCUCUAUAACUAUAGAGAAAAAAUACAGAUCUGCUUCGUCAAACAAGUGGGGAUGCCAUCAUCAGUCUGAUAUUGCUGGGGGGUUUUGCUCUUGCCAAAGUUUCUUCUGAUAUGGACAGCCAUCGCUGCACUUGAUGAUAUGAGAGGAGAAAGAUCGAGGCUAAAAAUACAUCUCAUCGGGUGAUGGUUAAAACUGCUGAUCUCUCGGGUUUUACAUUAAGUACACGUUGCUGUAAUAAUUGUGUAUGAUAUUUCUUGUGUACAUCUGCAGUAAAGAAAUUUGUCAUUGUUGAUUAUUCACAUUCUUGGAUGUACUACUGCAAAUUGAUAUUGGAAGAUGAGCAUUUUAUAAGAUUGUUGGAGGUUGCACGCGUAGUUCGAGUUUUGCGACGGUAGUUUGUUUCAAAAGAAGUAAGUUAUAUGUCACGCAAUUGCAGAAGUAGGUAUACCACUCGAUGGU
Molecule: long non-coding RNA, 798 nt
Filed under: Copidosoma floridanum
Lineage: Eukaryota; Metazoa; Arthropoda; Insecta; Hymenoptera; Encyrtidae
Description: uncharacterized LOC106644892, transcript variant X2
Source: RNAcentral